CACCGCGGUUAUACGAGAGGCUCAAGUUGACAAACCCUCGGCGUAAAGAGUGGUUAGAAUCUCCCCCUUACUAAAGUCGAAUGCCCUCAUAGCUGUUAUACGCUCCCGAGGGUAAGAAGCCCAUCUACGAAAGUAACUUUACUCAUCUUGACCCCACGAAAGCUGUGAAA
RNAcentral lists this ribosomal RNA (170 nucleotides) under Neoclinus nudus. RNAcentral's name for it is "partial 12S rRNA". The record is from RNAcentral. Lineage: Eukaryota; Metazoa; Chordata; Actinopteri; Blenniiformes; Labrisomidae.